CCACCACCAUCACCGUAUGGGAGCGACACCGGAUAUUGGUACUAGCUGAAGCGGAGAGAGUGUGACAGCAGGCCUAACCGGAGAACAUGGAUUUAUCCUCUAUUUCUUUUGAUGUUUCUGCUGACGUGGAGGUGGAGGUUAAAACACAAAAUGAAGCCAUAAUGAAUAAAUUCGUUCGAUUUACAA
Pecten maximus is the source of this 186-nucleotide long non-coding RNA. RefSeq lists it as uncharacterized. The transcript has 2 exons. The record is from RefSeq and is a predicted model, not a curated record. Lineage: Eukaryota; Metazoa; Mollusca; Bivalvia; Pectinida; Pectinidae.